ACACAGAUGUGCUUGUGUGCGGUCCCCUACAAAACCAGCAGAGGAUGGCGCUAUGCAUGGGUCGAAUUUUGAACCGGAGCAAUAGGGAAGCUCACUAUAUAAAGGGAGAAGCUGGAAAAAAACAUCAAGAUUAAAACAACAGGGUGAAAAGUAUAAACAGUCGCUAAAACUUUUCAUUUUUUAAAGACUUGGUUUCACUUCAGAUAUGACUUUGGUCUCCUGAGCUGUUGACUGGAGGAUAAAAAGCAGAGCUAGCAUGGGCAGCUCACAGACCUAUUCUUCCACAUAUUUUUGAGACUGCCCCCUGGUCACUGCCUGGUCAAAAUGGAGAUUUUUUUUUUAACAGUGAAAGGAAACCCUGGUGUUUGUUAGCUCAAACAUGUUAGCCCUACCCGAAAAAUUGACGGAAUUUGUUGCUUAGGUUUGUCACAUAUGGUUGUCUGCUUCUUGUGGCGUGACUGUUAUAUUUCUCACAUUUCUUCGUGCAUGUCAUGGUCCCCGUGCCUCGCCGGCUGACCCCGUGCUAGGCAACAUGUUUUAUUUUGUUUUUUGCUCCCUCUCUCUCUCUCCUCUGCUGGGGCGGUGCUCAUUAUGGGCUCCCGCCCCUGGCCCACGCACCUGUGUUCAAUCACCACACCUGCUGCUGAUCCCCAGUAAUCCUGAGUUCUACUUAAGACGAUGGUCCUACGUUACUCAUCGCUGGAUCAUUGAGCAAUCUGCAUCUUUCCUGGACCUGUCCCUGCAAACCUGAAAACCCCACAAACGAGUGUGGGGAAGGAUGAGAGGCUGCAGGGGAGAGUGGAGGGUAAUUUUGAGAGGAGUGGAGCGUGUUUGGAUCCCUUCCUUUUCCCCACGGUCCACACCUGAGUCCUUUUAGGGACUCUGACAGUGCAUUUUUUUUAAAUUCAUGUGGAUAAGUUAAUACAGCCGAAUACCGUAUUGUCAGAAGAGCUCUUUAGCUGAGCACAAUCAUAAAAAAAACAUGUAAUUUAAACAAAAUACAAACCCUAAAACAAUAGACGAACUCUACAGAGCAGCCAGUGACAUAAAUGAGAGCGUACGUCCAUUCUAGUGGAAUCUGCCAGCAGACCGGGUGCCAGCUGUUUGGCUCUGGAAUAAUCUAGGUUAAGAUGUUUAGUCCCAUUUUCUCCUCUAAGCCCUUGACAGCUCUUUUCUUUUUCUCCUUCUGUCAAAGUCCUUUCGGCACCACAUUUCCACUCACAAGUAUUAGCAUUUAAGUUAAACUGCCACGAGAGUUUAACAACUUGAGGAUCUGUUGAGGACUCUGAAGGAUACUAUCAAAAUAAAAUGCAUUAAUCCUUUUUUAAGCAUGUUUAUUCUCGCCAUUUAGAGAUGAUAUAAUAACCAAAUUAUCUUGUGUAAUAGAUACAAAUAAAGACACACAAAGAUAAAUCCAAUCAAUAGGUCUUUUUAGACGUGCUGUAAAGUCAGAAAUUUAAACCUAUAUCACAUAUUGAUGCUCCUGAUAGCUUCAGCCUAAUGUAAUGUGAUAGUAAGAGUGUGGUGCAUUCAUAGUAAAAAGAAAACAGUUAAUUAUCAGUAUAUAUUAGUACAUUUAAGGUCCAUUAUUCUGAAGUAAGAAAGAUUAUUCACAACUGCAAGGUUCAAGAAUGUUAGAGCCAUGUUUGGCUCUAAUGCACAGCACCAGCAAAGCGCUACAAAACACCUCAUAGUAAGCACGGUGCUGGAAAGGUGACGGUUUCUUUUGCAGCCACAGGACCUGGGCAUCUCGUGGUUGACCAUGAAGUCCCCUGAAUUACCCAAGUAUUCUAGAGUCAAAUGUGAGGCCGUCUGUCCAACAGCUAAGUCUGGGCCAAAACUGGGUCAUGCAACAUGACAAUGAUCCCAAGCAUAGCAGCAAAUCUACAAAAAAUGGCUGAAAAAAAGAAAAGAAUCAAAGAGUUGGAAUGACCCUAUAAAGCUCCAGAUUAUGACAGGACCUUAAGAGAGCUGUACAUGAACCUCAGUGAACUGAAGCAGUGCUGCAAAGAAGAGUGGGCGAACUGAGCGACUGAUAUAGUCACACAGAAAGUCAUUACUUCAAAUUCCUUCAUGUUAUAGCUAGUAAAAGUGGGGUGUACUUAAUUUUUCAAACACUGCUUUUGUAUUUUGGCCUAAUUUUGACAUUCUGUAAUAUGCCAUCUUUUGGAGUUCACCUGAGACUGUAUUCACCUAAUUUUAAGGCCUUUUGAGGACCCUGUUGUUUUUCUUAUUUUUUCUUAUUUUUUUUUUUUUUGGCUUGGAACAACAGGCAUGUCACCUUUCACUCUAUACAAAGGUCUAGGUGUGUGUGGGUGCAUGUGUGCCGCAAGAUGCUUCAGCAUGUGGGAGAGCUGACCCUGCCCCUUGCAGAAAGGAACUGAGAGAAAUUUUUCUUCUGGACUGGAAAUAACAAAAACGCAUCCCAGAAAAAGGUCUUUUGCAAAUUAGAAUACCAUUAGAUGGUAUUACUGUAUACAUAUGUUGCUAUUUAAGGUAAUAUUCGUGAGAGCUGAAGAGAAAAGUACCGUUAGUGUCACUGGUCAGAUUUGUGCAGUCAUAUGCAAAUAUUUCAGAAUAAGACUAAGUAAGAGUUCCAUCACAGUAACUGGGAGUGCUCAUUCAGGUGUGAAGCUGACAGGUUCAGAUGCAGUAAUACUAACAGAAAAGAGUGCAUGUCAGUGCAUGUGACAGGGUGCCUGUCACAGACCAGCCAAACAAUCGGUGUGUUCUGCUAUUACCAUUUUAUUUCAGAGUUGUGUUAUUCCUCACAGAAAAUGCACUGCCUCCUCGUGUUUUAGGAAUGCUAAUGGGGUUCUGCUGCAGGGAUUUAAGUUAAGAGCAGUUAUGUGUGGCUUCAAAGGAACACAAAUGAAUGCUGGAGCCAGAGUAAGGAGUAUUUUAAAAGUAAGGAGAAAAUCUGUUCCGAUAUCAACUUUAAUCCAGUAAAAAGAGACUUAAUCCUGGGUGAUGUCAUGCCUACAAGGUUCGCUACAAGGUUGACAAAGCGAGGACUGCUGUGUUAUUAACAUGCCGAGUGCCAGUAAGACUGAAGUCAAAGAUAGCAAACUCUCUUUACAGAGGCACACUUUAUGUGUAUGAAUGCACUCCUGCAAACAUGCGUACCUAUUGUGCUGUAUCUUGCAGUAGGUUUCAGGAUUGGUGGUGGUAGGGGGUGGAGUAGUGACUGUAUAGCCAUAGGGCACUAUGAAACGCUUUCUAUGGCCAUUUCCACUGUGGUAUAAAGAGCAGCACCAUCUGUGAGUAGCUCUCUAAUGAGCAGUUUAAUAGGCUUGGAACCAUGUGGCUUUCUCUAGAUGCCUCCACGUGUGUGUGUGUGUGUGUGUGUGUCUCACAUACUUGCACAUGUGCAGAUGUUGACACCAGCUCUGACAUGACCAAUAUUAGUUACUAUGUGAAAAAUUUCUUCCAUUGUUUCACACACUGUCUGUUUGAUGCUUUAUCAUUUUGUCUUUUUGCCUCACACACACACACACACACACACACACACACACACACACACACCCCCGUCAUGGUCCUAGGAUUUUUGUUGCCAUUGUGUUUUGAAAUUUUCAUGAAUUUAUUUGAGAUUGGGCAUCCUCCAACUUUUAAUUUCUGUAUUUUUUUUUUUAUUGUUGUUUAUUUUUAAUCUAGCAGAUUAUCUGCUUUAUGUCCCAUGACACCCCUGACCUGUGUUGGUUAUUUUAGCGAUGAGUUUUAGUUUUGCAUUCAGUGUUUUGGUUCAUGUCCCAGUUUAGUUGUUGUAGUACAGGUUUAAGUGUUUCCCUAUUUCGUCCUCCCUCUGUCUUCUCUUUCCUCUCCUCCAGUGUUCUCUUCUCUCUGUUUAAUGUGAGACUUCUUGUGUCCAUCUUCAGGACAUUUCCUUUGGCUUCUUCUCUGUCUCGUACCUGUUAAGUGUUUGUCAUCAUGUGGAUUUUCGGUUUCCUUUGGUUAUUUCCUGUUUUAAUUUGAAGGUUUGUUUCUUUCAUGGCCUGUGUUAGUUUUACUUCCUCUUGUCGGUCUUCCCCGAUUAUUCUCACGUGUUAAUUGUGUUUAGUGGUGCCUCAUUCCCCACCUGUCACCUGUUGUCUAAUCAGCCCUCUGUGUAUAUACAGCCUUGUCUCACGUUUGUCUGUUUGCAGUGUCUGAUAUGUUUCCCUGUGUUGUCCUCCAACAGCUCCUGUGGUUUUGGGGCUUUGUUAACAGCUUAAAUAAAGGCUUGCCUUUUAUUAUUUCA
This is a long non-coding RNA of Oreochromis niloticus (Nile tilapia), 4237 nucleotides long. RefSeq lists it as uncharacterized. The transcript has 2 exons. NCBI's taxonomy places the organism in Eukaryota, Metazoa, Chordata, Actinopteri, Cichliformes, Cichlidae. The record is from RefSeq and is a predicted model, not a curated record.